This is an RNA transcript of Helianthus annuus (common sunflower), 5381 nucleotides long. RefSeq lists it as uncharacterized. NCBI's taxonomy places the organism in Eukaryota, Viridiplantae, Streptophyta, Magnoliopsida, Asterales, Asteraceae. The transcript is spliced from 14 exons. The record is from RefSeq and is a predicted model, not a curated record.
GUCAUAUUUUCUAUUUUGAGACUAUCAUCACAAAACUUUUUGGUUUUAAAGUUUACCCACAUAAGCUUUGUUCUCUUACUUUUAGACCUAAAAGAGAGGGACUGGGAGAAGCAUGCGGCAGGCCGCCACACCCAACGGUGGCGUACCAUGCGUCGGGCUUAGCUACGGUUCUCGCUUCUAGGUUUUGGCGACCUCAUCUGUCGGUCACUACCACCGUUAUACAGCAGCACACAGUCACUCACCCGCUUAUGCCACCGAUAACCAUCGCCAGGCCCCGAAUCCAGUUCCGGCGAUAAACGAAAUCGAAAGCGGCAACUGAGUUAUUCCCUUUCUUCCCUUAAUUGCCGGAGGUUUCGACUUCGUCCCUCACAUCGGUUACCUGCAAAACCCUAGCCUUGCUCAACACCAUCUAUAGCCCUAAUCGAUCACUAGGGCGUCUGAAUCGUCCUCAAUCGAAGAUCCAGUAAAAAUCCAGUAAAAAAUAACAACACCAGGAAGAACAAUGUUUCGAACUCAAAAACCCGAGGAAGUUAAUCACAAAUAAAACUUAUGUUGGUUAUUCGCAAUGAGUCAGAUUUGGUUACAGUCAUGGUGCCGGAGUCACCAGCGUGAUCGGCGGUGAUGGAUCGUGGUGGUGACGAUUGUUUGGAUUGGUCGCCGUCUAACAUCGUGGUGGAGGUGAGUUCCUUUGAAGAUUUGGAGACAGAGGGCCAAGGUGAUACGUGUAAAUAGGCUUUGUGGAAUAGGUUUUCUAAUGGAGUCGCGGAUGCGGUUAGUCCGGUUAUGGGUGCAGCUUGGCUUGCGCUCAGUGAGUCGACUAAACCGACGCUUAAGCUGUCUUCUUCGGAGUCAUUAAAAGCGCUUUCUGAUACUAGCUCAAUAAUUUUAUCACAAGUUAGUUCUUCGGCUAACCAAAGACGUGAAGUUAAAAAAGAUUGCAGUUUUGCAUCUGGGUAUGCUAAAAAGACUAAUGAAAUCAGCAAAAUCUAAUCCUAAGAGACUUAAACCUGGAUUCCUAGACCUGACCAAAGGAUCGCCAGAUGAUCCAAUAUCAAACAAAAGAGUUAAGACAAAUUGUUCCAAACAGUGCCAAGCAUUGAUGCUUUGCCGGAACGCAUCAUCAAGCACAUGCUUUUCUUUGUUGACAUGCAUGGGUUGUGUAGCCAUACGGGUCAGAUCGUUGCUUGGGUUUUUGGUCAGCUUGCAUGUGACCUUUCCCGGGUCAGCUCUUGGAUUUUGGUUCAGCUUAUAGGUAACAUUUUCUUCGUAACAGGUCAAUCUGCAUAUGGUUGUGUCAAAUUGUUCUUACGUAUGAUUUCUUUAGCAAAUAGUAAAUGAUGAAACAAAGAAGACAAACCUCAUGAGUCUUUAUUUCAAGGCACUACAAAAAAAAAUCUAUUGAAAUUGAUUCGAAACUUGCUGUAAUGUUGAUUGCUAAUUGUAGUGAAUUAUAUUUCAAAUAUAUAUAUAUAUAUAUAUAUAUAUAUAUAGAGAGAGAGAGAGAGAGAGAGAGAGCGGUUAACCUACAUUAUUAGUAAUCGUACAUUACAUACGUGAUAAUCCUGACCGUAGGAUCAAGGGAUUAAAAGCGUGAUUAAAUAAUUGUUUAAAUGUCUGUCUAAAACGUAAUUAUGUGAACCAAAGGUUAUAAUGGUCAAUUUCCUAUACCUAAAUACCCGGCUAAAUCUCAGUAUCUAAUCAAAAAACCAUAUUUGAUAAUCAAAAAUUUCGGUGACUUUCAAACGAUUCCGACCGACGGAGAAAGACGAUUAACAACGGUGAACAACCAACGACCAUCGAUUUCACUUGAGAAUGACGAAUACGGCAUUAAGAGCUAAAAGAGAAAGACGGAGCAAGAAAAGAAAUGAUCCGGUGAAGCCGGUGCACAUUAGCGGCAUAACUACAGGGGUUGCUGAAGAUGAUGAUGAUUUUGAGCCCCCGAUUCAGUCGAUAAUGACAAAGCAACCUCAGAAAUUAAAGGUUAAUAAAAAGCAUACAAAAUUAAGUCUACAAGAUGAUGAUGAUGACUUUGAAGUACCUAUUAGAGACUUGAUAGUCAAAAGGGGUGAAAACACAAGAAAAAGGCCAAAUACUACAACUAACCAAGAUGGUGAUGACUUUGAGCCAGUAAAAAAGAAACAAUCGAAAAACGAAAAGCAGAUGGAUCCUAUCGAGGGGAAACGGAAGAUUACCGAUGCAGAACCUAUUAGGACAGAACCAAGACCGUACUAUGAUUAUCAUCAUGAUGUAAUAAGCCUACGGUGCAGUCCUUCAGGUUUUAUGGAUACAGUUAAGCACUUUACUGAAGCGCAGGUGGCGGAUGUGAAGAGCAUUGGAUUUGGUGAGGUCCUUAAUAUAAAGCUUUAUCAUAUAAGCACACGUUUAGGGUAUUGGCUCGUACGAAACUAUGACGAGCAAUACAGCACACUAAACAUAGGAAAUCACAAGAUAGAAAUCACCCGAGAUUCAGUACAUGACGUGUUUGGUAUUCCAAAGGGUAAUGUUAUUGUACGAGAAAAAAAUAAGCCUAGGAAAGGAGCAAUAGUGGAGAAAAAUACGGCUACUCAAGGCGCAGAAACAACCAUAGAUGAGUUCAAAAACCAGUGGCCAGACACAAACAAAAUUACUCAUACUUUACUUGCAAGAACUAUGUCAAAGCAAACCACUGGCGGACGAUUAUUCAAGCUAAAUUUCCUAGCCUACUGGAACACUUUGUUUGUAGAGAUAACAAAGUCAACAACUGUUAAACAAAGUUUUCUACUUGCAAUUGACAAAGAGGAAGACAUUCCAAAUCUGGAUUGGUGCUCCUUCGUUUUAGAAUCGCUGAAACGAACAAGACAAGGUUGGAAAAAGUUAGACUCACAAUACAAUGGCCCGGUUGCAUUCCUAACGCUUCUAUACAGCCAUUAUUUCAACGAAAGACACAAAAUUUUCGAUGAAGCUGUCAAAAUGCCUGUCAUACAGUAUGUAACCUCUGGUAUGAUCGACGACGUGGAAGAAUAUUUAUACAACAACGGGCCGCUAAAUGUUGAAGAUUGUGAUGAAGUGGAGAAAGACGAAGGAGCAAAUGAUAAUCGCCAGGAUCAACAACAUGUUACUGCCUCACGCAUCAACGGCAAUGAUCAUCAAAAUCAAGAGUCUACGGCCGCACCAUUCAAAAUCGUAAAACAGAACACUUCGACGCUGUACACUGACCUUUUCGCUGACAACAUCCCGAUACACGAGGCAGCUGCGGUACAAGAAAACCUCACCGAAUUCAAUACAUUAGAUCAACGUAUGGAAGAUACGGAUGAGUACAUAAUACCACCAGUGGAUACGACACAUGUCUACAACAGAAGAAACCUGGCUGGAAACCUGGAUGGGGAAGAUCCGAUUGACGAAGGUGACAUACCAUCAAAUACGGAUUGGUUUGAUGGGUGGAAUCCGAAUGAACAUAUUUCAGCUUUGAAUUUAGAUGAAAUGGACAUAGGGACACAAACGCAAAAAGAGAUUGACUACUGCAGCACUCCGGUUCAACUAACCGGGGUGAUCUAUGAUCAUGCUGCGUGGGAAGCCUCGAAAAAAAGUAAAAAGGUGUUGUUGAAAACAAUGGACAAUAAUAUAAAGAAAUACAUUUCUCUGGUUUCGGAUAUGAAUAAUCUCGUUAAGGGGGUAAAGGAGAAGUUUUUCUGGGAUGUUGAAAUUAUGGAAAGGUGUAAAAAAUGGAAUGAUGCGGUUAAAAAUACAGUUUCGAUACCUGAUGACGUAAGCUCUGCUGGUGAUGAGGUGGUUCAAAACAAAGUUGGACAGGGUGGCGAAACAAAUCAAGAGUUAGAGGGCGAUGGAGACGCAAGGUUGGAACAUGAAAACACAGGGAAAGAUAAAGGAUGUGAUGAUGUUCAUAAUACCCCAUUUGAUGAUGGUGGUAUUUCGGACUCAUGCCUGGCUGCCUUACAAACCAUCGAACCAGGCGUAUACAGACAGGCUACAGAAGUGGCACAAGCAGAUGUGGUAAACAACAUGGACCAACAUGUAAAUUUGGCAGAGUGCAGUCAGCAACAAGCACAUAAACAGAAUACAAUAACCGACGCCUAUGAUAAAGAAAAGCCUCCGACAACAUCAGCUGAUGAACCUGAUGAAGUGACCGAAGCAGAAAUGCAGUCGGUUGAGACACUUUUAAAAUUGGCUCCAAUCCUACAAACAUCAAGUGCAAGUAAUCAAAAGACUCCUGUGUCAGCGAACACAAAUAAAACGGAUGACGAGAGGCAUACACACCUAGUGAGAACGCGUAUCAACAUGAUCAGGGAAAAGAACGAAAAGCGGAUGGCAGAACUAGGUGACGCAUACAGAUCACCUUACUGCAACAGGGUAACCGACUUAUAUGAGCCACUUUUGGGACGUGACCAAACAAUCAUCUGUUAUCUCUUAGCUCCGGUGGGAGAUAUUGGGACAUUGAUAUACAAGUCUGACAGUGGAGUCGAAACGCUAAAAAUCAUAUUUGAAACCUUCCACCCAUCGCAAUACAUAUCAUAUGGUGGAAUGGACGCAUUUGUAGAUGUUUUAAACUUUGAAGAGAAAAAAAGGGACAAAAAAUCUUCACCCUACAGGCUGUUCUUGCCAACUACAAUAUUGCAAGACGAAAUGUUUGAGCCAAAAAUCACAGAUAGUGAUCGAUUGAAAGUAUUCGGACCAAGCGUAGACGAUAUAUUGUGUAAGUAUCAGGUGAAGAAAGUUGACAAACUUGAUCUCAUCUUCAUUCCAGUACUACUUUCUGAUCAUAUGCUUUAACAUGAAAAAUGGAGAUAUCGAGUUAAUAGAUAACUCUAGGUAUGCCGAAUCGUUUACCAAACGCUACCGUGGACGCCCCGAAAAGCUGCGGAGAGUUCUAAUACUAUACCUAAAAGGCAAAAUUGGACAAAAAGAGUGGAUAACAAAGUUGGAAAAGGCAAAAAUAAUUCGAAAGGAAAUGGAUUGGAGAACUCUUCAAAACGGUUGUGACUGUGGUGUCUUCACUAUGAGACAUAUGGAGACAUACAAGGGCAAAUCUCCAUGGAAUGCAGGGUUUAAAACGGAAGACCAAAAGAAGAUGCAAGAUUCACAACUACGGUUUUUGCGGUACAGGUAUCUUAGUAAGAUUGUAUUGUCCGACUACAAUCUUAUAAGGAAAGAGGUAUACGACAAAGCUACGGACUUUAUGAAGAAUUCGAUACCCGCAGAUGCUUUGCACGAUCUAGAUAGCAAAAUAAGUAACAGAUUGGAUCAGUUCUUCAACCUCAAAAAGGGGAAACAAAAUGAAAAGUCGUAGGACUACUAUCUUGCUGUCUUUUGUUCCAAACAUCUUUGACAUGUUGGAUUUUUUAUUUUUAUUUAUAAUUCUAAUAAUUUCUGGUUAUAAACAUAAA